AUUCAAAGGAAGCUGAGCCAUGGUUAAAUGCCAUGAAGGCUGAGCUUGAUUCCUUAGAAAGGAACAAAACAUGGGAGCUAGUUCCAGUAGUUCCAGGAAUGAAACUGCUUGGAAGCAAAUGGGUCUUCAAAGCGAAGACAGAUCAAAAUGGCAAGAUAGUCAGACACAAAGCCAGAUUGGUAGCCAGAGGUUUUGCACAGGUACCAGGUGAAGACUAUCACGAGACCUAUUCACCCACAGUGAGAUAUGAAGCAUUAGGCUUAUGCUCAAGCUAGCUGCAGAGGA
Molecule: non-coding RNA, 285 nt
Organism: Podarcis lilfordi (Lilford's wall lizard)
Lineage: Eukaryota; Metazoa; Chordata; Lepidosauria; Squamata; Lacertidae
Source: the annotation of a GenBank genome assembly